RNAcentral lists this ribosomal RNA (320 nucleotides) under uncultured eukaryote. Its description in RNAcentral is "partial 18S ribosomal RNA". It matches the Rfam family "Eukaryotic small subunit ribosomal RNA", at positions 1470 to 1796 of the family's 1831-position model. The record is from RNAcentral.
CCCCUAGAUGUUCUGGGCCGCACGCGCGCUACACUGAACAGUUCAACAAGUCUUAACCUUGGCCGAUAGGUCUGGGUAAUCUUUGAACGCUGUUCGUGAUUGGGAUAGACCUUUGCAAUUAUGGGUCUUCAACGAGGAAUUCCUAGUAAACGCAAGUCAUCAGCUUGCAUUGAUUACGUCCCUGCCCUUUGUACACACCGCCCGUCGCACCUACCGAUUGCAUGGUCCGGUGAAAUCUCGGGACGGCGGCUUGGUCGCUUGCGUCCGACUGCUGAAACUUGAUUAAACCAUAUCAUUUAGAGGAAGGUGAANUCGUAACA